This 479-nucleotide ribosomal RNA is filed under the name uncultured Sphingobacteriales bacterium. RNAcentral describes it as "bacterial SSU rRNA". It matches the Rfam family "Bacterial small subunit ribosomal RNA", at positions 901 to 1382 of the family's 1533-position model. The record is from RNAcentral. Lineage: Bacteria; Pseudomonadati; Bacteroidota; Sphingobacteriia; Sphingobacteriales.
UCAAAGGAAUUGGACGGGGCCCGCACAAGCGGAGAGCAUGUGGUUUAAUUCGAUGAUACGCGAGGAACCUUACCUGGGCUCGAACGUAAGAUGACUGUAGGUGAAAGCUUACAUCUCUUCGGAGCAUUUUACGAGGUGCUGCAUGGUUGUCGUCAGCUCGUGCCGUGAGGUGUCGGGUUAAGUCCCAUAACGAGCGCAACCCUACCUUUAGUUGCCAUCAGGUAAUGCUGGGGACUCUAAAGGAACUGCCUACGCAAGUAGUGAGGAAGGCGGGGAUGACGUCAAAUCAGCACGGCCCUUACGUCCAGGGCUACACACGUGCUACAAUGGCCGAUACAGAGGGCAGCUACCUGGUGACAGGAUGCAAAUCUCCAAAGUCGGUCUCAGUUCGGAUCGGAGUCUGCAACCCGACUCCGUGAAGUUGGAUUCGCUAGUAAUCGCGCAUCAGCCAUGGCGCGGUGAAUACGUUCCCGGGCCUU